This 351-nucleotide ribosomal RNA is filed under the name Salmonella enterica subsp. enterica serovar Kentucky. RNAcentral's name for it is "bacterial LSU rRNA". It matches the Rfam family "Bacterial large subunit ribosomal RNA", at positions 566 to 909 of the family's 2925-position model. Lineage: Bacteria; Pseudomonadati; Pseudomonadota; Gammaproteobacteria; Enterobacterales; Enterobacteriaceae. The record is from RNAcentral.
CAACACACAAAACAAGCGGUGAGUGCUUUGGGGUGGGGUGACUGCGUACCUUUUGUAUAAUGGGUCAGCGACUUAUAUUCUGUAGCAAGGUUAACCGAAUAGGGGAGCCGGAGGGAAACCGAGUCUUAACUGGGCGUUAAGUUGCAGGGUAUAGACCCGAAACCCGGUGAUCUAGCCAUGGGCAGGUUGAAGGUUGGGUAACACUAACUGGAGGACCGAACCGACUAAUGUUGAAAAAUUAGCGGAUGACCUGUGGCUGGGGGUGAAAGGCCAAUCAAACCGGGAGAUAGCUGGUUCUCCCCGAAAGCUAUUUAGGUAGCGCCUCGUGAAUUCAUCUCCGGGGGUAGAGCA